AUUGAACGCUGGCGGCAGGCCUAACACAUGCAAGUCGAGCGGAUGAAGGGAGCUUGCUCCUGGAUUCAGCGGCGGACGGGUGAGUAAUGCCUAGGAAUCUGCCUGGUAGUGGGGGAUAACGUCCGGAAACGGGCGCUAAUACCGCAUACGUCCUGAGGGAGAAAGUGGGGGAUCUUCGGACCUCACGCUAUCAGACGAGCCUAGGUCGGAUUAGCUAGUUGGUGGGGUAAAGGCCUACCAAGGCGACGAUCCGUAACUGGUCUGAGAGGAUGAUCAGUCACACCGGAACUGAGACACGGUCCAGACUCCUACGGGAGGCAGCAGUGGGGAAUAUUGGACAAAGGGCGAAAGCCUGAUCCAGCCAUGCCGCGUGUGUGAAGAAGGUCUUCGGAUUGUAAAGCACUUUAAGUUGGGAGGAAGGGCAGUAAGUUAAUACCUUGCUGUUUUGACGUUACCAACAGAAUAAGCACCGGCUAACUUCGUG
RNAcentral lists this ribosomal RNA (484 nucleotides) under uncultured bacterium. RNAcentral's name for it is "partial 16S ribosomal RNA". It matches the Rfam family "Bacterial small subunit ribosomal RNA", at positions 30 to 507 of the family's 1533-position model. The record is from RNAcentral.